This 961-nucleotide ribosomal RNA is filed under the name Staphylococcus aureus. RNAcentral describes it as "partial 23S ribosomal RNA". It matches the Rfam family "Bacterial large subunit ribosomal RNA", at positions 310 to 1275 of the family's 2925-position model. The record is from RNAcentral. Lineage: Bacteria; Bacillati; Bacillota; Bacilli; Caryophanales; Staphylococcaceae.
UACGGAGUUACAAAGGACGACAUUAGACGAAUCAUCUGGAAAGAUGAAUCAAAGAAGGUAAUAAUCCUGUAGUCGAAAAUGUUGUCUCUCUUGAGUGGAUCCUGAGUACGACGGAGCACGUGAAAUUCCGUCGGAAUCUGGGAGGACCAUCUCCUAAGGCUAAAUACUCUCUAGUGACCGAUAGUGAACCAGUACCGUGAGGGAAAGGUGAAAAGCACCCCGGAAGGGGAGUGAAAUAGAACCUGAAACCGUGUGCUUACAAGUAGUCAGAGCCCGUUAAUGGGUGAUGGCGUGCCUUUUGUAGAAUGAACCGGCGAGUUACGAUUUGAUGCAAGGUUAAGCAGUAAAUGUGGAGCCGUAGCGAAAGCGAGUCUGAAUAGGGCGUUUAGUAUUUGGUCGUAGACCCGAAACCAGGUGAUCUACCCUUGGUCAGGUUGAAGUUCAGGUAACACUGAAUGGAGGACCGAACCGACUUACGUUGAAAAGUGAGCGGAUGAACUGAGGGUAGCGGAGAAAUUCCAAUCGAACCUGGAGAUAGCUGGUUCUCUCCGAAAUAGCUUUAGGGCUAGCCUCAAGUGAUGAUUAUUGGAGGUAGAGCACUGUUUGGACGAGGGGCCCCUCUCGGGUUACCGAAUUCAGACAAACUCCGAAUGCCAAUUAAUUUAACUUGGGAGUCAGAACAUGGGUGAUAAGGUCCGUGUUCGAAAGGGAAACAGCCCAGACCACCAGCUAAGGUCCCAAAAUAUAUGUUAAGUGGAAAAGGAUGUGGCGUUGCCCAGACAACUAGGAUGUUGGCUUAGAAGCAGCCAUCAUUUAAAGAGUGCGUAAUAGCUCACUAGUCGAGUGACACUGCGCCGAAAAUGUACCGGGGCUAAACAUAUUACCGAAGCUGUGGAUUGUCCUUUGGACAAUGGUAGGAGAGCGUUCUAAGGGCGUUGAAGCAUGAUCGUAAGGACAUGUG